AUUGAACGCUGGCGGCAGGCUUAACACAUGCAAGUCGUGCGGGGUGAUGGUGCUUGCACUAUCACUUAGCGGCGGACGGGUGAGUAAUGCUUAGGAAUCUGCCUAUUAGUGGGGGACAACAUCUCGAAAGGGAUGCUAAUACCGCAUACGUCCUACGGGAGAAAGCAGGGGAUCACUUGUGACCUUUCGCUAAUAGAUGAGCCUAAGUCGGAUUAGCUAGUUGGUGGGGUAAAGGCCUACCAAGGCGACGAUCUGUAGCGGGUCUGAGAGGAUGAUCCGCCACACUGGGACUGAGACACGGCCCAGACUCCUACGGGAGGCAGCAGUGGGGAAUAUUGGACAAUGGGGGGAACCCUGAUCCAGCCAUGCCGCGUGUGUGAAGAAGGCCUUAUGGUUGUAAAGCACUUUAAGCGAGGAGGAGGCUCUUUUGGCUAAUACCCAAGAUGAGUGGACGUUACUCGCGGAAUAAGCACCGGCUAACUCUGUGCCAGCCGCCGCAGUAA
Molecule: ribosomal RNA, 503 nt
Filed under: uncultured bacterium
Lineage: Bacteria
Description: partial 16S ribosomal RNA
Rfam family: Bacterial small subunit ribosomal RNA
Source: RNAcentral